AACGAACGCUGGCGGCAUGCCUAACACAUGCAAGUCGAACGAGACCUUCGGGUCUUUUUGCGCUCGUCUGCGUACCGCCUGGGAACUUGCCCUUAGGUUCGGUAUCCCUCCCCGUAAGGUAUCCUCAUGCCGCUUAAUCUCUUCGGACCAAAGAUGUAUCGCUUUUGGAUGGGCGCGCGUUGGAUUCGCCAGUUGGUAGGGUAAAAGCAUCCCAAGGAGACGAUCCAUAGCUGGUCUGAGAGGAUGAUUAUCCACACUGGGACUGAGACACGGACCAGAAUCCGACGGGAGGCAGCAGUGGGGAAUAUUGGAGAAGGGGCGAAAGCCUGAGCAAGCAAUGCCGCGGGAGUGAUGAAGGCCGUAGGGUUGUAAAGCUCUUUUACACGGGAUGAUAAUGACAGUACCGGGAGAAUAAGCACCGGCUAACUCCGUG
This 433-nucleotide ribosomal RNA is filed under the name uncultured bacterium. Its description in RNAcentral is "partial 16S ribosomal RNA". It matches the Rfam family "Bacterial small subunit ribosomal RNA", at positions 29 to 507 of the family's 1533-position model. The record is from RNAcentral.